GCAGACUUGUCCCCUUGUCUCUCCUUGUUCCACUCACCCCUCCCCCACAGGAACCGUUCGUUGUGGGUCGCGGGCCGACUCAUUAAAACAUCAGUGAGUUAUUUGCAGUUCACCAGGAAUGGUGAUCUUUUGGGCAACAGGUGAUGGUGAUUAAACAUCUGGGAGCAGGAAGGACUGAACUGGCAACUGGAAACCCAAAAGAAGCUUCCAUUCUGUCUAAAUUAAGUCUUUUGAUAAUGAUUGCAGACGUGAUGUGAAA
This is a long non-coding RNA of Suricata suricatta (meerkat), 259 nucleotides long. RefSeq lists it as uncharacterized. The transcript is spliced from 2 exons. The record is from RefSeq and is a predicted model, not a curated record. Lineage: Eukaryota; Metazoa; Chordata; Mammalia; Carnivora; Herpestidae.